Molecule: non-coding RNA, 944 nt
Organism: Zootermopsis nevadensis
Lineage: Eukaryota; Metazoa; Arthropoda; Insecta; Blattodea; Termopsidae
Source: RefSeq, a predicted model, not a curated record
GACAGCUUCGCAUGCAGCCACUGAUAGUUGAAUAGCACGUGCUCGUACAGGUCCUGGAAACGGCGUGACCUCACCAUGUGAUACGGCAUCUCACCAAACUUCAAAUGAAAACAACACAGAUCAUCACAACUAGACAAAACAGCAUCAACUAAUGAGAUACGAGAUUCUCGUGGUGGUGAUCAGAUCAAUAUUGGUCUUCUGGGUUGUAGUAACAUGUGGACUUGUAUGUAGAUACCGUCAUUUGUUAGGAGAAUACUGUCUCCAUCAUUGCCUGAAGGUGAAGGCAGUAUGUCCACACAACAUUAAAGCACAGAAGACCAACAUGGACAUCAUUUAAUUCUCCACAUCAAAGAGAACAAUACUCUCCAAGAUGUUAUAUCGAAAUCGUUAUGUCCAGAGAUUCAUGCAGGUAAUUGGGCAGGUCAUUACGGAUCCGAGUCCAGAGCAGCGGUGGGAUACGUCGCACGGGCGGCAGAUGGUACUGGUAAACGUCAUCCAGCACCUUGUCAUCCAGAGAGAUCAGGUCCUCCAACUCUGACUCUGACAGACCACUCUUAGCAGCAGUGAUGUAGGCAAGUGCGUGGAACACGAGGAUGCGACCAUGCUGCGGGCAGACCGUUCAGGAAUUGAAAAAGCCUGCCAUUUCACCCUGUCCCAGGUCUGUGACUUCCAGAAACAACUCCUCAUUAUCAAUCAUGCGUCGCAACAGAUGAUAGUCCUGACUGACCUCUGGGUUGUCAGCCUCUGCAGCACAUGACACCAGCAGCUGGAGAGGCAAAUUACAGUCAGCAGUGAGUUAAGGUGUGUGAUGCCCAUUGUCUGCAGGAUAUUCACCUUGCAAUAUGGUGGCAAGCGGAGUGGCAGCCAUGACACCUUGUUGGCAUCUUGCGCUCCAGUCAGUUGAUCCACUGAGUCUAGGAACAGGAAGAUUGGUUGCUGCUGGU